This 254-nucleotide ribosomal RNA is filed under the name uncultured bacterium. RNAcentral's name for it is "partial 16S ribosomal RNA". It matches the Rfam family "Bacterial small subunit ribosomal RNA", at positions 524 to 776 of the family's 1533-position model. The record is from RNAcentral.
UACGGAGGGUGCAAGCGUUAUCCGGAUUCACUGGGCGUAAAGGGCGCGUAGGCGGUCAGCACAAGUCAGUUGUGAAAUCUCCGGGCUUAACUCGGAAAGGUCAACUGAUACUGUGCGACUAGAGUGCGGAAGGGGCAACUGGAAUUCUCGGUGUAGCGGUGAAAUGCGUAGAUAUCGAGAGGAACACCUGCGGCGAAGGCGGGUUGCUGGGCCGACACUGACGCUGAUGCGCGAAAGCCAGGGGAGCGAACGGG